This 265-nucleotide ribosomal RNA is filed under the name uncultured archaeon. RNAcentral describes it as "partial 16S ribosomal RNA". It matches the Rfam family "Archaeal small subunit ribosomal RNA", at positions 718 to 982 of the family's 1478-position model. The record is from RNAcentral.
AGUCACUGACAUUAGAUACCCCUGUAGUCCCAGCCGUAAACAAUGUGCGUUAGGUGUGUCGGUAACCACGCGUUACUGAUGCGCCGAAGAGAAAUCGUGAAACGCACCACCUGGGAAGUACGGUCGCAAGGCUGAAACUUAAAGGAAUUGGCGGGGGAGCACCACAACAGGUGGAGCCUGCGGUUUAAUUGGAUUCAACGCCGGACAUCUCACCGGAUAAGACAGCUGAAUGAUUGUCAAUCUGAGGGUUUUACAUGACUAGCUG